AUACGAAGGGGGCUAGCGUUGUUCGGAAUCACUGGGCGUAAAGCGCGCGUAGGUGGAUCAAUUAGUUGAGGGUGAAAUCCCGGGGCUCAACCUCGGGACUGCCUUCAAUACUGUUGAUCUUGAGACCGAGAGAGGUGAGUGGAAUUCCUAGUGUAGAGGUGAAAUUCGUAGAUAUUAGGAAGAACACCAGUGGCGAAGGCGGCUCACUGGCUCGGUACUGACGCUGAGGUGCGAAAGCGUGGGGAGCAAACAGGAUUAGAUACCCCAGUAGUCC
RNAcentral lists this ribosomal RNA (274 nucleotides) under uncultured bacterium. Its description in RNAcentral is "partial 16S ribosomal RNA". It matches the Rfam family "Bacterial small subunit ribosomal RNA", at positions 523 to 796 of the family's 1533-position model. The record is from RNAcentral.